CAACGUGCCGAUGACUCGGGGAUAGCCUUUCGAAAGAAAGAUUAAUACCCGAUGGCAUAGUUCUUCCGCAUGGUGGAACUAUUAAAGAAUUCCGGUCAUCGAUGGGGAUGCGUUCCAUUAGGUUGUUGGCGGGGUAACGGCCCACCAAGCCUUCGAUGGAUAGGGGUUCUGAGAGGAAGGUCCCCCACAUUGGAACUGAGACACGGUCCAAACUCCUACGGGAGGCAGCAGUGAGGAAUAUUGGUCAAUGGACGAGAGUCUGAACCAGCCAAGUAGCGUGAAGGAUGACUGCCCUAUGGGUAGUAAACUUCUUUUAUACGGGAAUAAAGUGAGGCACGUGUGCCUUUUUGUGUGUACCGUAUGAAUAAGGAUCGGCUAACUCCGUGCCAGCAGCCGCGGUAAUACGGAGGAUCCGAGCGUUAUCCGGAUUUAUUGGGUUUAAAGGGAGCGUAGGCGGACGCUUAAGUCAGUUGUGAAAGUUUGCGGCUCAACCGUAAAAUUGCAGUUGAUACUGGGUGUCUUGAGUACAGUAGAGGCAGGCGGAAUUCGUGGUGUAGCGGUGAAAUGCUUAGAUAUCACGAAGAACUCCGAUUG
Molecule: ribosomal RNA, 594 nt
Filed under: uncultured Bacteroidota bacterium
Lineage: Bacteria; Pseudomonadati; Bacteroidota
Description: bacterial SSU rRNA
Rfam family: Bacterial small subunit ribosomal RNA
Source: RNAcentral